RNAcentral lists this ribosomal RNA (589 nucleotides) under uncultured bacterium. RNAcentral's name for it is "partial 16S ribosomal RNA". It matches the Rfam family "Bacterial small subunit ribosomal RNA", at positions 355 to 1375 of the family's 1533-position model. The record is from RNAcentral.
UGGGGAAUAUUGCACAAUGGGCGCAAGCCUGAUGCAGCCAUGCCGCGUGUGUGAAGAAGGCCUUCGGGUUGUAAAGCACUUUCAGCGAGGAGGAAGGUGGUGAACUUAAUACGUUCAUCAAUUGACGUUACUCGCAGAAGAAGCACCGGCUAACUCCGUGCCAGCAGCCGCGGUAAUACGGAGGGUGCAAGCGUUAAUCGGAAUUACUGGGCGUAAAGCGCACGCAGGCGGUUUGUUAAGUCAGAUGUGAAAUCCCCGGGCUCAACCUGGGAACUGCAUUUGAAACUGGCAAGCUAGAGUCUCGUAGAGGGGGGUAGAAUUCCAGGUGUAGCGGUGAAAUGCGUAGAGAUCUGGAGGAAUACCGGUGGCGAAGGCGGCCCCCUGGACGAAGACUGACGCUCAGGUGCGAAAGCGUGGGGAGCAAACAGGAUUAGAUACCCCUGGUAGUCCACGCUGUAAAACGAUGUCGAUUUUGGAGGUUGUGCCCUUGAGGCGUGGCUUCCGGAGCUAACGCGUUAAAUCGACCGCCUGGGGAGUACGGCCGCAAGGUUAAAACUCAAAUGAAUUGACGGGGUCAUAGCUGUUUCCU